UACGUAGGGAGCAAGCGUUGUCCGGAUUCACUGGGUGUAAAGGGUGCGCAGGCGGGUUGGUAAGUCAGAGGUGAAAUCUCACGGCUCAACCGUGAAACGGCCUUUGAUACUGCCAAUCUUGAAUUCGGGAGAGGUUGAUGGAAUUCUAGGUGUAGCGGUGAAAUGCGUAGAUAUCUAGAAGAACACCAGUGGCGAAGGCGGUCAACUGGCCCGUAACUGACGCUCAGGCACGAAAGCGUGGGUAGCGAACAGG
RNAcentral lists this ribosomal RNA (253 nucleotides) under uncultured bacterium. RNAcentral describes it as "partial 16S ribosomal RNA". It matches the Rfam family "Bacterial small subunit ribosomal RNA", at positions 524 to 776 of the family's 1533-position model. The record is from RNAcentral.